GAUGAACGCUGGCGGCGUGCCUAAUACAUGCCAGUCGAGCGAACGGACGAGAAGCUUGCUUCUCUGAUGUUAGCGGCGGACGGGUGAGUAACACGUGGAUAACCUACCUAUAAGACUGGGAUAACUUCGGGAAACCGGAGCUAAUACCGGAUAAUAUUUUGAACCGCACGGUUCAAAAGUGAAAGACGGUCUUGCUGUCACUUAUAGAUGGAUCCGCGCUGCAUUAGCUAGUUGGUAAGGUAACGGCUUACCAAGGCAACGAUGCAUAGCCGACCUGAGAGGGUGAUCGGCCACACUGGAACUGAGACACGGUCCAGACUCCUACGGGAGGCAGCAGUAGGGAAUCUUCCGCAAUGGGCGAAAGCCUGACGGAGCAACGCCGCGUGAGUGAUGAAGGUCUUCGGAUCGUAAAACUCUGUUAUUAGGGAAGAACAUAUGUGUAAGUAACUGUGCACAUCUUGACGGUACCUAAUCAGAAAGCCACGGCUAACUACGUG
RNAcentral lists this ribosomal RNA (497 nucleotides) under uncultured bacterium. RNAcentral describes it as "partial 16S ribosomal RNA". It matches the Rfam family "Bacterial small subunit ribosomal RNA", at positions 28 to 507 of the family's 1533-position model. The record is from RNAcentral.